This 614-nucleotide ribosomal RNA is filed under the name uncultured bacterium. Its description in RNAcentral is "bacterial SSU rRNA". It matches the Rfam family "Bacterial small subunit ribosomal RNA", at positions 49 to 661 of the family's 1533-position model. The record is from RNAcentral.
UAACACAUGCAAGUCGAACGAAGCUUGAUUUCUGAUUUUUUCGGAAUGACGAAUGAUAUGACUGAGUGGCGGACGGGUGAGUAACGCGUGAGCAACCUGCCCUUCGGAACGGGAUAGUGUCUGGAAACGGACAGUAAUACCGUAUAACAUAUAUUGAUCGCAUGGUCGAUAUAUCAAAACUGAGGUGCCGAAGGAUGGGCUCGCGUCUGAUUAGAUAGUUGGUGGGGUAACGGCCUACCAAGUCGACGAUCAGUAGCCGGACUGAGAGGUUGAACGGCCACAUUGGGACUGAGACACGGCCCAGACUCCUACGGGAGGCAGCAGUGGGGAAUAUUGCACAAUGGGGGAAACCCUGAUGCAGCAACGCCGCGUGAAGGAAGACGGUUUUCGGAUUGUAAACUUCUGUUCUUAGUGAAGAAUAAUGACGGUAGCUAAGGAGCAAGCCACGGCUAACUACGUGCCAGCAGCCGCGGUAAUACGUAGGUGGCAAGCGUCGUCCGGAAUUACUGGGUGUAAAGGGAGCGUAGGCGGGAUGCCAAGUCAGCUGUGAAAACUAUGGGCUUAACUUGUAGACUGCAGUUGAAACUGGUAUUCUUGAGUGAAGUAGAGGUUGG